Molecule: ribosomal RNA, 274 nt
Filed under: uncultured bacterium
Lineage: Bacteria
Description: partial 16S ribosomal RNA
Rfam family: Bacterial small subunit ribosomal RNA
Source: RNAcentral
AUACGGAGGGUGCGAGCGUUAAUCGGAAUUACUGGGCGUAAAGCGUACGUAGGCGGUUGGUUAAGUUAGAUGUGAAAGCCCCGGGCUUAACCUGGGAACUGCAUUUAAAACUGGCGAACUAGAGUUGAGUAGAGGGGAGUGGAAUUUCAGGUGUAGCGGUGAAAUGCGUAGAGAUCUGAAGGAACACCAGUGGCGAAGGCGACUCUCUGGACUCGAACUGACGCUGAGGUACGAAAGCGUGGGUAGCAAACGGGAUUAGAAACCCCGGUAGUCC